Molecule: long non-coding RNA, 1780 nt
Organism: Equus asinus (donkey)
Lineage: Eukaryota; Metazoa; Chordata; Mammalia; Perissodactyla; Equidae
Source: Ensembl
AUUUUUAAAAAACCAAUGUCUGUGCCCUCCCUCGAACCAAUUAAAUCAGAAGUUCUGGGAAUAGAUCCCAGGUAUAGGUGAUAUAAAAAUCUUCCCAGGUGAUUAUAAUACCUACUUUUGAGAGCAACUAUCCUUGAAGUAGAAGCAAUAGCUUAGCCAAUUGAAAUUGGGGUUGAUGGAAAUUCCAAGUGGAAGCAUCAAUGCCCACAAAGACAAGACCAUGAGAUGGAGCAGAGCACGUAGGAGAACGGCUCACACAUGUGACAGCAGAGAUCAAGAACUGUGAAGGGUCUAAGAUUUUUACCCUGUUGAGAACCAACAAGAGAGCCUACUCAGGUUUCAUGGAUGUUGGCAUAAGACAUACGACCCCUAGAUCAGAAACCAGAGCAUUAUAACUCACAGCUUAGCAGAAUCAAGGAGUGGAAAGUGCCAGGGCAGAUUUCUGCAUGAACUUACCUGUCAGGUGGACAAAGAAUUCUCUGUGCAUCCUUUAAGGCCCAGACGUAGCACUACCUCUUCAUGAUCCAUGUUGAUAAACAGAACUCCCAUGCCAAGAAUAGUGCAUUGGGUGAGAGGAUUUCAUGGAGGCAUCUUUUUGGAUUCCACAACGAGGGCCAAGCAGCAUAAAGUCAAGAGGUUGCAUGCCAGUUUCUUAAAUGGUCACUGGGAAACUGUAAGAUCCUGUUUAUUCACUAAAUAUAGUUCUUAAGAACAUUAAUCUAAGCCUGAAAGAUGAAUACAUCUGGGUCCACUGCUCCCUUGCGGUGCUAUUUAGUUACUCUGUCACUUAAAAAUGGCUCAGGCAAUGAAGUUCAAAGACUCCUUCUCUUUCCACUCCCACCCCUUUAUACAUCAUAUAAUCUAGCAAUGUCAUGAUUUUUUGACUGACUUGUGGCUCAUUUGUGUUGAAUAACCAGGUACCGAUUAUCUAGUUUCCUGUCUCCACAGGAAAUCACACCUUCUGGAAAAAUCAAUUUGUUCAAUAUCUUUUAGUCAUUUAUAAUCAGAUUAAGAAAUAAAAUAGAUUUUUGGUAAAGACUCAAUAAUUCUUAUUUUAUUAAUCUGAAACCCAGGUAUUCCCAUAAAACUGCUAAGCAAUGAUAUCCAUUUCCUAGGAAAGAAUUAACCAAUUUUCUGAAAUGUUCUACAAGAUCAGUAGCAUAAUACUACCAACAUUAUCUUAACUAAUUGAAGCUAGAUUGCACCUGUCAAAAUAAAUUAAUAAAAUAUAUUUGAGAAUGCAGUUUCUAUGAUUUCUAAUGUACAUAUUCAUUGAAUUUCUAAUUUACAUGUUUUGAUAACCCACUAUGGACCUCUCAGGGUCUCACUUCUAGUUGUCAAAGUUCCUGUGGAGAUCAUUAAACACAAGUUUGCUUUCUAUUUUGAACUUAAUAAAACCUGUUAGUCCUCUUUGUUCAAAGGAGGCUUUCAUUCAAUUCCAUUACUUCUUGUUUUUUCUAUUUAGUGUUGCAAAAUAAUUGUAAUAUGCUUAGGUGUGAUUAUACCUCAUUAGGACAAGUUCUUUUUUAUCAUUUAUAUAGUUAGGUAGGUAUCUCAACAAAAUGAAGCAGGCAUGUGAUAACCCCCAUAAAGAAGAAGAAAUCCCAUAACAGGUACAUAUUGCAUUUCUUAAGAAUUACAUUUUCUUCUACUGAGUGUAAGCUCCAUGAGGAUAGCAGCUGUUUUUAGCUUGUUCAUGACUGUAUACCAUUGCCUUGUCCAGUGCUGGAUAUAAUAAGUGCUCAGAAAAAUUAUCAAAUAAAUGACGUUGUUAACCUUG